CCAACUCCAGGAUCGCAAGUUAGAUUCAUUGGUACGCUUCUUUCAAGUUCAGCACUAUCCUGGUUUUUAUCUUUUCUUGAACAACGAGAUCCAAUAUUGGAUAAUCUAGAGGCUUUUCUGGCAGAGUUUUGAUCCAUGUAUGGAGAACAUGAUGCAAUUCAUGUUGCAACCAAUAAGAUCCAUAUUUUACGACAAGGCAAUCGAUCGGUAACGUUGUACGCUUCACAAUUUUGACAACUUGCAACUGAUAUCAAGUAAGAUGAUGCUGCACUUAUUAGCCAAUUUCUCUAU
RNAcentral lists this long non-coding RNA (291 nucleotides) under Physcomitrium patens. RNAcentral's name for it is "long non-coding RNA (PPAT_LNC004342)". Lineage: Eukaryota; Viridiplantae; Streptophyta; Bryopsida; Funariales; Funariaceae. The record is from RNAcentral.